GCCAGUGAUGACACAAACUUUGGUUGACUGAAAUGCAAGUAUGAGUGCUUGCAUUGUGUUGAAAUUCAUGAACUAGGACGGUCUGAGGC
Small nucleolar RNA from Telopea speciosissima, 89 nucleotides. RefSeq annotates it as small nucleolar RNA snoR20a. Lineage: Eukaryota; Viridiplantae; Streptophyta; Magnoliopsida; Proteales; Proteaceae. The transcript has a single exon. The record is from RefSeq and is a predicted model, not a curated record.